RNAcentral lists this microRNA (22 nucleotides) under Shrimp white spot syndrome virus. Its description in RNAcentral is "wssv-mir144". Lineage: Naldaviricetes; Nimaviridae. The record is from RNAcentral.
UCCCCCGUGUACUUGAAACUGA